Molecule: ribosomal RNA, 469 nt
Filed under: uncultured Alphaproteobacteria bacterium
Lineage: Bacteria; Pseudomonadati; Pseudomonadota; Alphaproteobacteria
Description: bacterial SSU rRNA
Rfam family: Bacterial small subunit ribosomal RNA
Source: RNAcentral
GAGUUUGAUCCUGGCUCAGAACGAACGCUGGCGGCAGGCCUAACACAUGCAAGUCGAGCGCCCCGCAAGGGGAGCGGCGCACGGGUGAGUAACGCGUGGGAACAUGCCCAGAGGUCGGGAAUAACGGCGGGAAACUGCCGCUAAUACCCGGUAAGCCUUGAGAGGGAAAGGAGCAAUCCGCCUUUGGAGUGGCCCGCGUUGGAUUAGCUAGUUGGUGGGGUAAAAGCCUACCAAGGCGACGAUCCAUAGCUGGUCUGAGAGGAUGAUCAGCCACACUGGGACUGAGACACGGCCCAGACUCCUACGGGAGGCAGCAGUGGGGAGUACUGGACAAUGGGGGAAACCCUGAUCCAGCCAUGCCGCGUGAGUGAAGAAGGCCCUAGGGUUGUAAAGCUCUUUCGACGGGGACGAUGAUGACGGUACCCGUAGAAGAAGCCCCGGCUAACUUCGUGCCAGCAGCCGCCGUAAC